AUUGAACGCUGGCGGCAGGCCUAACACAUGCAAGUCGAACGGUAACAGAAAGCAGCUUGCUGCUUUGCUGACGAGUGGCGGACGGGUGAGUAAUGUCUGGGAAACUGCCUGAUGGAGGGGGAUAACUACUGGAAACGGUAGCUAAUACCGCAUAACGUCGCAAGGCCAAAGAGGGGGACCUUCGGGCCUCUUGCCAUCGGAUGUGCCCAGAUGGGAUUAGCUAGUAGGUGGGGUAACGGCUCACCUAGGCGACGAUCCCUAGCUGGUCUGAGAGGAUGACCAGCCACACUGGAACUGAGACACGGUCCAGACUCCUACGGGAGGCAGCAGUGGGGAAUAUUGCACAAUGGGCGCAAGCCUGAUGCAGCCAUGCCGCGUGUAUGAAGAAGGCCUUCGGGUUGUAAAGUACUUUCAGCGGGGAGGAAGGGAGUAAAGUUAAUACCUUUGCUCAUUGACGUUACCCGCAGAAGAAGCACCGGCUAACUCCGUG
RNAcentral lists this ribosomal RNA (490 nucleotides) under uncultured bacterium. Its description in RNAcentral is "partial 16S ribosomal RNA". It matches the Rfam family "Bacterial small subunit ribosomal RNA", at positions 30 to 507 of the family's 1533-position model. The record is from RNAcentral.